GUGAGUCAUCGAAUCUUUGAACGCACAUUGCGCCCGCCAGCACUCUGGCGGGCAUGCCUGUCCGAGCGUCAUUUCAACCCUCAGGACCCCUCCGGGGGACCUGGCGCUGGGGACCGGCCGCCCACCAGGGCCGCCGCCCCCCAAACCCAGUGGCUGCCCAUCGCGGGUGACUCUGCGCAGUAGUGAUACCUCGCAGCGGUCUCAGCGGUGCGGACUCGCCGUAAAACCCCCAACUCAUCAAGGUUGACCUCGGAUCAGGUAGGAAUACCCGCUGAACUUAAGCAUAUCAAUAAGCGGAGGA
RNAcentral lists this unclassified non-coding RNA (301 nucleotides) under Geosmithia sp. Its description in RNAcentral is "partial contains 5.8S ribosomal RNA, internal transcribed spacer 2, and large subunit ribosomal RNA". The stretch from base 1 to 71 matches the Rfam family "5.8S ribosomal RNA", at positions 84 to 154 of the family's 154-position model. Lineage: Eukaryota; Fungi; Ascomycota; Sordariomycetes; Hypocreales; Bionectriaceae. The record is from RNAcentral.